Molecule: ribosomal RNA, 399 nt
Filed under: uncultured bacterium
Lineage: Bacteria
Description: partial 16S ribosomal RNA
Rfam family: Bacterial small subunit ribosomal RNA
Source: RNAcentral
CCUACGGGUGGCAGCAGUGAGGAAUAUUGGUCAAUGGGCGCGAGCCUGAACCAGCCAAGUAGCGUGAAGGAUGACUGCCCUACGGGUUGUAAACUUCUUUUAUCAAGGAAUAAAGUGCGGCACGUGUGCCUUUUUGCAUGUACUUGAUGAAUAAGGAUCGGCUAACUCCGUGCCAGCAGCCGCGGUAAUACGGAGGAUGCGAGCGUUAUCCGGAUUUAUUGGGUUUAAAGGGUGCGUAGAUGGGUUGUUAAGUCAGUUGUUAAAGUUGGGGGCUCAACCGUCAUAGUGCAAUUGAUACUGGCAGCCGUGAGUACAGUAGAGGUAGGCGGAAUGCGUGGUGUAGCGGUGAAAUGCUUAGAUAUCGCGAAGAACUCCGAUUGCGAAGGCAGCUUACUGACC